This 485-nucleotide ribosomal RNA is filed under the name uncultured bacterium. Its description in RNAcentral is "partial 16S ribosomal RNA". It matches the Rfam family "Bacterial small subunit ribosomal RNA", at positions 28 to 523 of the family's 1533-position model. The record is from RNAcentral.
GACGAACGCUGGCGGCGUGCUUAACACAUGCAAGUCGAACGGUGAAAGCGGAGCUUGCUCCGCUGGAUCAGUGGCGAACGGGUGAGUAACACGUGGGCAACCUGCCCCUCACUUCGGGAUAACUCCGGGAAACCGGGGCUAAUACCGGAUAUGACCUCCUUGGGCAUCCUUGGAGGUGGAAAGUUUUUCGGUGAGGGAUGGGCCCGCGGCCUAUCAGCUUGUUGGUGAGGUAGUGGCUCACCAAGGCGACGACGGGUAGCCGGCCUGAGAGGGCGACCGGCCACACUGGGACUGAGACACGGCCCAGACUCCUACGGGAGGCAACAGUGGGGAAUAUUGCGCAAUGGGCGAAAGCCUGACGCAGCAACGCCGCGUGCGGGAUGACGGCCUUCGGGUUGUAAACCGCUUUCAGCAGGGAAGAAGCCGCAAGGUGACGGUACCUGCAGAAGAAGCACCGGCUAACUACGUGCCAGCCGCCGCCGUAA